This 277-nucleotide ribosomal RNA is filed under the name uncultured prokaryote. RNAcentral's name for it is "partial 16S ribosomal RNA". It matches the Rfam family "Bacterial small subunit ribosomal RNA", at positions 524 to 800 of the family's 1533-position model. The record is from RNAcentral.
CACGGGGGUUGCGAGCGUUGUCCGGAAUUACUAGGCGUAAAGGGCAGGCAGGCGGAUCCAUAAGUUUAUCGUUUAAGGCGUCGGCUUAACCGGCGUAGGGCGGUAGAUACUGUGGAUCUGGAAUGCGGUUGGGGAAGACAGAAUUCCUGGUGUAGCGGUGGAAUGCGCAGAGAUCAGGAGGAAUACCGAAGGCGAAGGCAGUCUUCCAAGCCGUUAUUGACGCUCAACUGCGAAGGUGUGGGUAUCAAACAGGAUUAGAUACCCUGAUAGUCCCUGA